GAUGAACGCUGGCGGCGCGCUUAACACAUGCAAGUCGAACGAAGCAUUUAAGACAGAUUACUUCGGUUUGAAGUCUUUUAUGACUGAGUGGCGGACGGGUGAGUAACGCGUGGGUAACCUGCCUCAUACAGGGGGAUAGCAGCUGGAAACGGCUGGUAAUACCGCAUAAGCGCACAGUACCACAUGGUACAGUGUGAAAAACUCCGGUGGUAUGAGAUGGACCCGCGUCUGAUUAGCUUGUUGGCGGGGUAACGGCCCACCAAGGCGACGAUCAGUAGCCGACCUGAGAGGGUGACCGGCCACAUUGGGACUGAGACACGGCCCAGACUCCUACGGGAGGCAGCAGUGGGGAAUAUUGCACAAUGGAGGAAACUCUGAUGCAGCGACGCCGCGUGAGUGAAGAAGUAGUUCGCUAUGUAAAGCUCUAUCAGCAGGGAAGAUAGUGACGGUACCUGACGAAGAAGCUCCGGCUAAAUACGUG
This 481-nucleotide ribosomal RNA is filed under the name uncultured bacterium. RNAcentral's name for it is "partial 16S ribosomal RNA". It matches the Rfam family "Bacterial small subunit ribosomal RNA", at positions 28 to 507 of the family's 1533-position model. The record is from RNAcentral.